This 348-nucleotide unclassified non-coding RNA is filed under the name soil metagenome. RNAcentral describes it as "partial contains 5.8S ribosomal RNA, internal transcribed spacer 2, and large subunit ribosomal RNA". The stretch from base 1 to 120 matches the Rfam family "5.8S ribosomal RNA", at positions 35 to 154 of the family's 154-position model. The record is from RNAcentral.
GAUGAAGAACGUAGCGAAAUGCGAUAAGUAAUGUGAAUUGCAGAAUUCAGUGAAUCAUCGAAUCUUUGAACGCACAUUGCGCCCGCCAGUAUUCUGGCGGGCAUGCCUGUCUGAGCGUCAUUUCAACCCUCACGCCCCUAGGGCGUGGUGUUGGGGAUCGGCCAAAGCCCGCGAGGGACGGCCGGCCCCUAAAUCUAGUGGCGGACCCGUCGUGGCCUCCUCUGCGAAGUAGUGAUAUUCCGCAUCGGAGAGCGAUGAGCCCCUGCCGUUAAACCCCCAACUUUCCAAGGUUGACCUCAGAUCAGGUAGGAAUACCCGCUGAGCUUAAGCAUAUCAAUAAGCGGAGGA